Molecule: non-coding RNA, 30 nt
Filed under: Homo sapiens (human)
Lineage: Eukaryota; Metazoa; Chordata; Mammalia; Primates; Hominidae
Source: RNAcentral
UGAAGGCUGAGAAGUCCGAAAUCAAGAUGC